This 567-nucleotide long non-coding RNA is filed under the name Fukomys damarensis (Damara mole-rat). Its description in RNAcentral is "lncRNA (ENSFDAG00000027104.1)". The record is from RNAcentral. Lineage: Eukaryota; Metazoa; Chordata; Mammalia; Rodentia; Bathyergidae.
GACCAUGUCUCCCACCCUCAAGUCUUUGUGGGUUAUCUCUCCUCCACUUCUGCAAGAGUCCUCUACCAAGACCACCUGGGUAUGGCUCGCCCCAUUUCAUGGACAUUGAAGAAUCCACCCAGACUUCCGUGAACUUCAUUCAAGGGAAUAUCCUACUUGUUCAAUCACUGAUCCAUGCCUUCAGCUUGGUUUCCAUAACAUCACCGAGCACCUGUCAAGCACUGUGCUAGGCGUUUCUGUCACAUCUCGAUACUCUUUAUCACCAUCUUGUAUCUCCUUCUUUAGCCCUCUGUCCCAGGAGUACUGCCUUUUGUUUCCAAGCCCUCAAGAUACUCUCUCCUUCAGCAAGCUUUUUCAUUUCUAUGAAAGCCGUAAUUCUUCAGAGCUGCUAGAGAAGUCCACAUGCAAACUGCCUUAAACAGUGACAAGAUCAUGGAAAGUAUUCACUAAAUGGUAGCAGUUCUAAUGUUUAAUAGAUGGUUUCCAAUUCAUUCAACACUGGCAUGCUCAGGGGGAAUCAGUUGACUUUUUAAGAACCUGUUGUAUGUGUAUGCAUUAUGUAAAGAA